Medicago truncatula (barrel medic) is the source of this 589-nucleotide long non-coding RNA. RefSeq lists it as uncharacterized. The record is from RefSeq and is a predicted model, not a curated record. Lineage: Eukaryota; Viridiplantae; Streptophyta; Magnoliopsida; Fabales; Fabaceae. The transcript is spliced from 2 exons.
CUCAAAUUUUACAAAAUCGUCGUGUCUGCAGCUGCACAGCGGCGGAGCGGUGUCUCCUGUGCUUGAGUUGUGAGUUCUUUUAGUUCAAUUCCUCACAUGUUCAGCUUGAAGCCGAUGAUGAUGAAACUUGAACUGGAAUUACCGUCUGAAUAGAUUUAUUCUUUGAUGUAAAUUUCUUGGCUGUGGUACUGAGGCUUUGCAUUGGUAUCUUCGUUUUUUUUUUUUUUCACUCACUUUUUAAAAACCAUAUCAGUUUAGUCUAUCAACACGUCGUUGAUUGAUUCCUUAAACGCUUACAGCUCCAUCAGGAAGAGAAGCAAAUGGCUAAGCGUUUGAUUCCAACCUUCAAUUGCAUCCUUGCUGAAAAAAUUGUCCCUCCUUCCAAGACCUCCGCCGGUGUUCUCCUCCCAGAGAAGACUUCCCAGCUUAAAUGUGGGUUAACUAAAUCAGUUGAGAUAUGAUGUUUGAAAUGUGGGUUAACUAAAUCAGAUUUGAAUUAUCGUCUGACUAGUAUUGUUAUGUGAUGUUAAUUUCUGGAUGUUUCUUGAUAAUAGAUUUUUGAAAUCACCUUAAAUAGUUUGUUUACUAA